Molecule: long non-coding RNA, 745 nt
Organism: Alligator sinensis (Chinese alligator)
Lineage: Eukaryota; Metazoa; Chordata; Crocodylia; Alligatoridae
Exons: 3
Source: RefSeq, a predicted model, not a curated record
UUGUCCAAUAAAUGCCCGUGUGUGCACGCAGCCGCAGUGCAACAUGUAGGCAGUGAGGAGCACUGACAGCGUGGAGUGCUGUGUGCAGCUGCAGAGAGGAAGACACAAACCAAUUGCUUGAAAUUGCAAUGAAGCAGAUUUAGACUGGAUAUCUGGAAAAAACUUCUUCACUGUUUUAACAGUGAGGCAGUGGAAUAGACUGCAUAGGGAAGCUGUGGCCUCUCCAUCACUGGAGGUGUCCAAGAAGAGUUUACAUCCUGUCCCUACACUGGAGCUACAGCUGCUGCCCCCCCACCUGCGCUCCCGCUGCCUCCGGCCCAGGUCCCGCUCUGGCCCCAACCUGGCUACGCAGCAGUGGUGGCUCCAGGGCUGGGGCUGAAGCUGCCUCCACAAGUGCUGCUGGCAGGUCUUAAACACGACACGAUUGUAUUGGAAGCUUGAAAUGAUGGUAUUUGCUAAAAAACGAUUGUACGCUGACCAAAUAUAUAAAUAAGUCUCCUUCUUGCUUUUACACUGCUCGCUGCAAACUGGCAGCGAGCGAGAACUGGGGCAAAGUUGAAGCAUGUCUUUCUUUUGAUCUAAAGGUAGUGCUGGGAGCGAACCCACAGCUCAGUUACGGCUCCUGGAGAGCGACUCCACCAGCUGCCUCACAAAAUGAUGGCACAUUUUGAACGCUGUUACCGUUAUUGAUGUCCCAUUCUACAAGAGGUUGGAAUUUGGGUGCAAAUACGAUAAUUAGGGUUGA